Molecule: long non-coding RNA, 2178 nt
Filed under: Gossypium barbadense (sea-island cotton)
Lineage: Eukaryota; Viridiplantae; Streptophyta; Magnoliopsida; Malvales; Malvaceae
Description: long non-coding RNA (GBAR_LNC010361)
Source: RNAcentral
UUAAAGUUAUAAAAAGAGAAAUAAAUAAAAUAAACCCAGAAAAAUAAAGUUAAAAUGGCCUUAUUACAAUCCAAAAAUAAAUACUAAAUGAAGUAACCUAAAGAAACCAGUCAUUUAUUUUAAAAGCCCAAAAGCGAUCACCGUGGCCACUCUGAAUCCCCUCCGGCUCCAAGUCACCAUAUCAAGGCCCACCUGCAAGGUUAAGGAAAGGGGGUGAGUUUGGAAACUCAGUGUGCAACAAGCCCCUUUCAGAGCCCAAAACAAUAUCAGCCUGUUGGGCCUAAGCCCAAAUUCCAUCUCAGCAUAUACUGGGCUGAAGCCUUUUCAUAUUUUAUAUUUCAUAACACCGGGCCGAAGCCUUUUCAUAUUUCAUAUUACUGGGCCGAAGCCUUUACUGUAAACGGUAUGGCCCAUAGGCCCAUUUCAAUAUCACAAGUAAUGUCAAUGAAAGAAUGCAAGCCCAUUUGGGGAGACUACUCGACCCACCAUCCGCUACUCUCCACCCGUACCAACCAAGCUCUCCAUGUGGAGAAUAACUCAACCCACCCAACCAAAACUCUCCACUGGCAGCAUAGCUGCUUUAUCAUAUAACUGGAGGCCUAGCCUCUUUUAAUAACUGGGGCAAAGCCCUUUUGAUAAACUGGGGCAAAAGCCCUUUUAAUAAACUGGGGCAAAAGCCCUUUUCGGUAAACUAGGGCAUAGCCCUUUUUGUAGUUCCUCCAUCCAUAUAAUCCCAACCCAAUGCAUUAUAAAUACAUCAUGUGCAUAUCAUACAUAUCAUGUGCAUAUCAUAUCAAUCAUGUAUAUCAAAUCCCAUGCACCAAAUUCAUAAUUAAACCCUAGGGGUAUAAUGGUCAUUUUUACCUAGGGGCAAAACAGUCAUUUUCAUAAUAUAAGGGUAAUUUCAUAAUUUUACCAAGUAUUAGGGAUUUUCCAUGUUCAUUAUCAGUUUUUAACAAUUUAUGGCUUAAAUCGCGAUUCUGGCCCAUUUUUAGUGAAACCGAGUUAUUGGGCCAAAAACCCCUAAUGGGCCCUACAUAGCCGAAUUAGUCAUUUAGGCCCAUUUAGCCUAUAUUCCAUAAUGGUAUUACUAGUCUUAACACGCAAUUUAACAAGGUUUCAUUUCCUACCAAAUUUACCCAAAUGGGCCCGUAAGCCCAUUGGGCCGAUUUCAGCCCCUCGAGGCCCAACUUACCGUGAUGCCAAAAAUCAUGCUCUUACCUUUUCCAACGUUCUCGAUCAUUAACUUAGAGAAUCUAACUAACCAAUGAACGUUUGCUUGCUCACAAGUCCUCGAAAUGCAAGAAUUUCGGCAUUUCGGCUUUUCGGCAUUUAUCGAUUUAAGCUACGAAAGAAGGUCCAUUACACACCUGACGUAGUCUAGCUACAGUUCUCACUCCUAUCGUUUUACAGUUCUACCCUAUCUAAAGUAUCAUAGUAGGGUCUCAAUUCUCAGUUCUAUUCAAGGGUAUUUCUGUAAUUUUGUAAAUUAAGGGUAUUUUGGUAAUUUUAUAAAUUGAGGGUAUUUCGGUAAUUUUACAAACUAGGGGUAUUUUGGUAAUUUUACAAACUAGGGGUAUUUUGGUAAUUCUAUCCUACAGGGGUAUUUCAGUAAUUUCACAAUCAAGGGUAAAACGAUAAUUUUAUAAACUAAAGGUAAAAUGGUAAUUUUGUAAAUCGAGGGUAAACGAUAAUUCUAUAAAUCAAGGGUAAAAUGGUAAUUCUAUAAAUCGAGCGUAAAACGGUAAUUUUGUAAAUCGAGGGUGAAACGAUAAUUCUAUAAAUCGAGGGUAAAAUGGUAAUUCUACAAAUUGAGGGUAUUUCAGUAAUUUGGUAAACUAAAGUAUUCUAAACAGGAGUAACAAUACGAACGGGCCUAAAGCCUAUUCUCGGCCCAAAUGGGCCCACACGCUCGUGUGGCCCUUUUAGCCCAAAUCUAGCCACAAAUAUGAGAUUCACCUAGCCUAGUCCAAUAUUUACUACACAAUCAAACAACUUAUCCAAUUGGGCCCGUAGGCCCACAUGACCCCUUUCGGUCCAUCAUGGCCCGAAGUAGCCAUCCUACAGGUAGAGUAGCAAGAAAAUACACACCUGAUAGGAGACUGGAGUUAAUCCACGCUCCGAGCACUCUUAGCCGACGCCCAACCCAAACGAGCACGCCAUACAAUGAAAGGGAUC